Hordeum vulgare subsp. vulgare (domesticated barley) is the source of this 1193-nucleotide long non-coding RNA. RefSeq lists it as uncharacterized. Lineage: Eukaryota; Viridiplantae; Streptophyta; Magnoliopsida; Poales; Poaceae. The transcript is spliced from 5 exons. The record is from RefSeq and is a predicted model, not a curated record.
UAUCCCAUGUUAGCAUUGGGGUAUAUCAGGAGUAUAUCAAAUCUUGGACAAAUAGCAUAAAUGAGUAUAGAGUUGCCUUGUAUGAGAAGGUUGAUAUAUUUAUUGCUUAACUUAUCUUCCUAGUUAUAUGUUUAAUAUACCGAUAGAGAUAUCGGUAGAAACUAUGUUACAGAAAAUUGGAGGAAUUCGUUUGAUAUUCCUUGAACCCCUCUCUUGUUUAGAAGCUUAUCUUUGUCUCAGUCAUUGACCAGUAUAGGAACAAGUUGACACUUCUUUGUUUUUUGCGAAACCACACAGUGCUUGAUUUCAUUGAUUAGGAAGGAGGAUUUAAAAAACAAAAAAGAGAAGUUAGGGCUCCGAAAUGGAGUCUGAAGGAUCCGCUGAACGGAAAGAAAGAGCAAAGACACAGCUAGCUGAAGGCCAAAGCAAAACAAGUAUUUGGUGGAUCAAGGAGGCUUGAGGUCCUGCUUCAUGAAUUUUGUCAUCAGAAUCACUGAACAAAUCUUUUCCUUCUAGGUAUUAGAAGAAAACGCCAAGAUGGUGGGAGUCUUACAAGAGGGAAAAAAACAAAAACCGAAAAGGAUAACAGCGACUAAUUUGUUUGCAACUGAAUUCAUUCAGAAGUCUAUUUCACUUGACGAUAUAUGGUUCAUGCUUUGCUGGAUAGAAUGGUACCGUUGAUGCAGGACAUCAGAUUGAAAGGCAUGCUUAUUUCCACCCAGGGGAGGAAAAAGAAGGGCGAGGGAAUCUUGAAUAUUUCUAUUGGACAAGUUUGUGGAAUCGGAUGUUCAAUUCAUUGGAUGGGAUAAAGGGUCUUGAGAAAGGUGAAAGCAGCUCUACAUUGCUGAUAUCAUACUGCAGAAUUUUUCUUCACCCUGCUUGUCAUCGCUUGCUGAAUGGAAUAUUGGGACCUGACUGAUUGAUCACCCUGAGAAGGUCUGGCUAAUAUUUCUCUCGCGAAGAAACAACAACAAAGAAAUCAGCUAAACUUCUUAGAUCUGUGGGAGGGUAAGUGCAACGUGUGUUCUGCGUCACUCUUGAUGUACUGUUUAAAUUAGUCGUUCUGUUCUUUCCAUUAUUGAUGGAAAGGAAAUUCUUAAUUCACUCGCAGUAAUCAAUAGCUAAGUCAAACAUCUUGUCGCCUUGUAUUUUGCCUAGUAAUUUGUGCAGUCACGCAAGUGAUCUCCUCUAAA